This 1356-nucleotide ribosomal RNA is filed under the name Triticum aestivum (bread wheat). RNAcentral's name for it is "partial small subunit ribosomal RNA". The record is from RNAcentral. Lineage: Eukaryota; Viridiplantae; Streptophyta; Magnoliopsida; Poales; Poaceae.
UACCACGACUAGGCCAGGAACGACGACCUAGGCCGGGAGAGGUGAGGAGGAGGGUCAGACUAGGUUACCGCUGACGUGCUGCAGCUGGAGGGCCUACCGCACUUCAGGGUCGCCGUUGGAGUCCGGGGAACGCCAACCCCAGCUAAACUCCACCGAGGCCACCUUUGUACCUGGUGUAGUGUGACAAUGUCCCCGAGGGCUCCGCUGUAGGUCAACGAGGCACAAGCAAAACGUGUACAAGUAUCACCCGUUGGAGCUCCAGUAGCAGUGAAGCUCGCGCCGCUCUAGGAGCUCCAGCAGUAGUAGUGUCUGUUCCCGUGACCGUCUAGGUUACCGUCGCCUAAGCUCCGCCUCCGCCGGUAAUCCCACACGAACUCAGGCAUGGGCUACUAAUCGCCGGCCUCCCGUUGACGUUGGAACGUACGGAGCCCAGGUCUCCAGGUUCCGUGGUGUUGGUUGACGGAGAAGUCGGUAUACGACGUCUACCAACGGGAAGUUCGUAGUUGUUUAACCUUUUAAGUUCGAGACUACUCUAAUGUUCGUCCCGUCUUUCCCUUAGUUGUGGUAGUGAGGUUUUGUAACUUCCGUCAUCUAAUGGCUCGGACGUAGUACUACCGGGAAGAAAUACAGUCAACAGAACCUGGUCAAUUUCAGACAAGACGACUUACGGAGAAAAUAAACGGUUCGAGGUUACCGAAUGGUUCUACACCGAAAAAAGUACCUGGUUCCGCCUUGUUACCUUCCGUGUUAAGGUUCAUGUCGAGAAGUUCUUGUCCUAGAGACUUCCUUGUUGUUAAAUGUUCGAACCGCGAAUGGUCCUUUGAACCGGAAGUUCAGGACAGACCGUUGAGCUACCUGGUCAUGAUAUUUGACCUUUAUUUCUCUUGACUUCACAGGGGAAGGUACCGCAACCCGCCGGAAAGAGACGGUCCGCGCCGCCGAGGAGCCAGACUCGACACACGUUCCUUCGAGUUCUGUAACCUCCUUUCGUAACAGCCUAUAUACCAUUUGGCGUCCUACAAAAGGGGUGGUACCUACAGAAGAAUACAGUUGGACGAGAACUAUAUAUUAUGCGGUAGUAGAGAACCUCAUACACUCAUGUAAAAGUAUCAAAACGAUUUCAGAUCUUUUCUACAGUUCGUUACCAGACUCUAUUUUGCCUACCGAAGCCUACUACGAAACUUUUAUCAUAUAUAGUUUCUCUACCUCUCCCUAAUACAGCUACAAGUUUUUCUUAGGUAUCUGUUCCCAGGGUUCCGUUACAGCAACCUUCCCCAACUUUUAAAAGACUCGAAAUAUGUUGUUAUAACCUAUACGUUCGUCUUUUUUUUCCGAUUCCGGGGAAAACCAAGUAUC